This 73-nucleotide transfer RNA is filed under the name Phycisphaerae bacterium. RNAcentral's name for it is "tRNA-Ala". It matches the Rfam family "tRNA". From Rfam's summary of the family: Transfer RNA (tRNA) molecules are approximately 80 nucleotides in length. Their secondary structure includes four short double-helical elements and three loops (D, anti-codon, and T loops). RNAcentral also lists the same sequence under 2 other names. The record is from RNAcentral. Lineage: Bacteria; Pseudomonadati; Planctomycetota; Phycisphaerae.
GGGGCCGUAGCUCAGUUGGGAGAGCGCUUGCAUGGCAUGCAAGAGGUCGAGGGUUCGACCCCCUUCGGCUCCA